CAUGCUGAGAGUAUCUAAGUACAGUUGCCUUCCAAGCAAAAAGGCCUAAACAGGUCAGCAUAAC
RNAcentral lists this transfer RNA (64 nucleotides) under Margaritifera falcata (western pearlshell). Its description in RNAcentral is "tRNA-Gly". The record is from RNAcentral. Lineage: Eukaryota; Metazoa; Mollusca; Bivalvia; Unionida; Margaritiferidae.